GAAUGAAUUCCUAUUCAUAUGUAGGAUAGGAAUCAAUCCUUCACAUUUCAAAGGGAAAAAAACAUUAGCCUAGACUCAAUGGAAAAAAUCUUAUCCUAUGAAUCAAGUGACAUCUCUUUUCCUAUAGGAAGUGAGAUGCAUGCCACCUCACUUCCUAUGAUUUUCCUAUUCCUAUGAUAUUUCUACCCUAUGAACCAAAGGAGGCCUAAUAAUGCAAUUUCUGCGCGUCCAGGUUGGUUGGCCUCUCUAUUAUGAUGAGCCGGCCCAUUAUUGGCAAGCAACCUGUGAGCAAUGCCGAGAAGCCACAACCUCGGGUUCCUCAUACAAUGAGAGGCUCGGCAUGGGUGGCGGAUAGAAUUUAGUUGAAAAGAUGGUACAUAUGUAUAGGGCCACAUCUCUUAUAGAUUUCAGUAUAGAUGCUCUACACAUUGGUCUCACUCCGCACAUUGUAGUAUAUGACACUUGUUGCAGAUUACAGAUCCUCCUUCCAUGUCAUAUUAUAAUCUGAUUGCUCGCGCAGUGCAGUCAGAAAAUUCUUGGUUUGGGCAUGCAUUAAAUAAUUGUUAGUGUCAACCAUAUUGAAUUGGCGUUACUGUGUUCAUGAUACACUUCCACAAUACAUAAUUAUUUUAAUGUGAUGCUACACAUUCUGGGAGAAAAAUAAACGGCAAGGUCUUCCCCAAAAGUUAUUUCAUUCUAACGGUUUAAUCAAUUCGUUUAGGCGACACUAGGUGACCUUAAUACUUCUGGUUGGAGCGUCCUCGAAAGCAAAGCUGGCGAAGAGAGGCGGCGGUGCUUUGUGUGUUGAAUCCUUCAAACCAUCCCAUGCAUCGGCUGGAAAUUGAGUUAGAGGAGGAUGUGAAUAUCACCUUCUCUGUUAAAGGCCAAAGCUCGAUUUAUUUGUCAGGAUAUUACAUCCUUACGAAUCCCAAGACUUGCACUACUAAAAGAAAUUCAUUCAGAAAACGAAAGUAUGAUCAAGAGGUCUCGGACAGGUAUAUCAUCUUUUUCAACCUAAUACGGGGGGCAGUGUUGAUGGUGUUGCCAUGCAAAGUAAUACUCCCAAAAUAAUACCAGCUACCAUCAUGUAAAUAAUCAUAAUAGCCGCUAAGAAUCCUAAGGCAACAUGAGCAUGAUACCGAUAAAACAAUAUGAGCAUAUCAUGAACAUAGGAAUCUGUCGAUACUAACAUGCAACAUAAUAACACUACAUGCACCAAUUAUUCUGCUCGGGUUAUCUCGCAACCAUCACAUGCAGCACUUACCAACCUCGGACAUCACACGAUCAUCUCAGGAUCAACUCAAGCUUGGUAUAAAUAAUACCGUAGUAAUCAUUAAAUGACCACAAGGAGCUUGAUCUUUACCCAUGAUUCUCGCAUAACAUCACGAAUAUCCAACAACUCGGUAUCCUCGAUACCACGGUGAUCAUUCCGACGAUCACAACCAUGACCAACAAUUGGUCUUAAACAGUGAUCAUUCCGACGACCACAACCAUGACAACACUUGGUCUCAAACGGUGAUCAUUCCGGCGAUCACAACCAACUUAACUCCUCAUCGAACUGGGGUUGUCAUUAAUCAAGUUAUUAUUAAUACUGUUGACUCACGGUGGGACCGACACGAACUGGGCCCUUAUCCGCGGGUGCGGCUAUCGAUAGAUUUAAUAUACACUCUGCAGAGGUAGCACACUGUACCCACACCACGGAACCCAUGGCCUCGUACUCCUAUUCGGGUGGACCAACGGCGUUCCGACAAAACCGAUCUACUGUCGUGACACUCUCCCGGCCACUUCGACCCACUCCCAACUGGGCUAGUCCUGGGUGGCCCCGUGUCUACCAAAGACACCCCGACCACCGUCGUGGUCAAACGUCCCUCACUGGGACCGGAUCCAUAAAAAUAAAAACAACGGGCACACAAGGUUAUGUCCGCCUACCUGAUCAGGGUAAGCACGCCCAUAACCUUCCCUCGUGGGAGGCACCGGCGAGACGCACGACAAUAGACCCAGUUAGGACCUUACCCAUAUGGUAAGCGUGGUUGCACUGGUCAGUUUCGAUUUGGCGGCACCAUGGCUCAGCCAACAGUUGUUCAAGUUCAAUUAAAUCCGGUUAAACUUGAAUAUAAAAUGUUGAGCCAUGAUAAAAUAACAUGAUGCAAUUACAAUGCAUGAGCAUAAUAUCAACAUAAGCACGGGAUGCAACAUAACUGUCCAUCAUAUCAAUUAUGAAAUAAUCUCCAACUGAACAUGGCAUAAUGGCGACCAUAAAUAUUACAAGUGCAACACUACUCAUAGUAUAACAUAACAUGACCACUAGCAUCAACCAUAAAUAACAUGCAAGAACUUAUCAAUAACGUCACCGAGUAACACUUAACCAACUAACAGCAAAGGAACAACGCAUAUUAACAGUACUCGAUAACCAACGUUAAUCAUGCACCGAAGAGCAAGACCAACCCAACAUGUAGUACUAUCAAGCAUGGCAAUAUGAAAGUAAUACUAGCAACUAGCAGAGCAUGAUAACCAGGUGCAUAACAACAUAGCAAACAAGUAAGCACAAUCCCAAAAGCAACGAUAACCAUAUUUUAAACAAGCAAUCAUUUAAUAAAUAUUCAAGUUGAAAACCAUGGCUACUGCAUGACUAUCAUGCAAAUGGGUAUUGUGGCUUGCCUGGGGGUGUAGAAGGCACCGGGGAGAAGUGCGGUGAAGUCGCAGAAAGAUUUGCUAGAAACAGUUCUCUCUCAAAGGGGCUGUUUACGUGCAAGGGCAAAAAGGUCAUUUUCACAGUGUAAAACCAUAGUGAAAAUGAAACCAACAGAACGGGCUCGACGAGACAAAGAAGUGGGAUUUGGAUUCACCUCAUUUGGAGUUACGGUUGAAAAGUUAUGAGGAGUUGAAAAUCGGGGACCUAUCGGUGAAACUUUUUUAGCAAACAGGCCCCUGGUGGAUAAACAGAAAGCGCCUUCUCUGAAAAUACAUUUCCCAGAGAGGAAAACGCAUUCUUUCCCGAAGAAUAAAUGGAAUACAUCUUCGAUAAGGGAAAGCAUACUCACAGAAGUACGUUUCCACUUAUCCACGCUGGCAAGCGCGGGGCCGGGCCUUGAGCAGCUGACAUAGGGGGCUCACGCGCAGGGGGAGGGGGCCAGCUAGGCGUCGUCUUCCUCCUUGCUGCUCCCCCGAUGGGAAUCAUAGGAGCAGAGGCAGGGGAGAGGCCGGCGAUGGCCCGGGCAGCUCUGGCAGUCCCUGGCCAAGCCGUGGCCACCGACGGGCGCAGGAGGAAUGGACACACCCGUCCCCAAGGUCAACCGGCACUGAGGAGGGGCGGGACAAGCGCAAGGAGAGGGGAACAGAGGCGGCUCCGGCGGCGGUUGAACUUGAAGACGGCGCCUUCUGCUAUUGCGGCGAGGGGGCGAGGGGUGGAAGAGGUUCGUCGGGGUCUGGGUGGGCUUCUAGUGGUGAAGAGAUGGAGGGAGAGGCAUUGACUCGCUCGGAUUUGAGCGGAGCCGAACGGCGGCCAUGGUGGCAAUGAAGGUCGAGGAGGGGCUCUGGUGCUCGGGAAAGUCGACGUGGAGGGGGAGUAGAGUGCGGGGAGGCCAGUGGUGUGCUUGAAUAGCUCGGGGAAGGCCUAUAUAUAGGCGGGGUGAGGACGUGCCGCACUGGCGUCGCCGCGGACACGCGUCUGGCGCCGCGGACACGUGUGCACGCACAUGGGCUCGUCGGGAAGGCGAACGGGAGAUGCAGGGAGGAGCCCAUGGGGCAGAGGCGGCCAACGGAGCACGGGGAGGAAGAAGACGACGACAAACAGAACCAAAUGGCCACUGUUCACCCGUGGUCACGCGGCGGUUCGCGUUGGUGAGCAAGCGGACGGAGGGGGAGAGGGGUCCAGGUGAUCAGCGACGACGAGAGGAAAACAAUGGACAUGCUCACGCGCGCUAAGACGACGAGAGGAAAGCGGACGAAGCAGAAACGGCGCCCUGGACGCGGCCACUGCGCACAGAGCGCGUGCACAGGCACGCCAUUGUCGUGGUCACCAUGUGAAUGAGGGCAUUCAAUGCUCAACAGCACCCAAAAUGUUGUCUAGCACAUAGUCCUUCCAAAGUAGGUUGUAACUGUGGUGGUAGAUUUGUUAAAAGUGACAUGGUUAAAAGGCAGUUACCACCUGAAGUUUACUGCAGUAAACUUGAUCGUGUGCUGCUGCUCAACAGAGACUUGAUUGAGGUCAAUGGAGUUGUCUGGUAGAUUGAGGUAAAGAAGGACAUAUAUCCUGGUAAUUUUGAGAAGAAUUGGACCACUAAUUAAUAUAGUUGCUUUACAACUAAGUAAUCUGGUCCAGAAUGAAGAUGAUGAUGAUGCUCUCAAAUGGAGGAGCCACUUGAGCUGAACUUUGGCAAGGCGGGCUUAUUUGGCCAUAUGAAGAUGCUGCAAAAGGUUUCAUACCAAUUGGAUAAACCAAAAUGGUACUUCCUUCACAAACAUUUCCAUUGACCAGAAACUUGCAAAAAUUCUAGAGGAAUAAUGGCUUGAUGAAACAUGCCCAAAAUGGGUGGAGGUAGGUUAUAUGGAUAAUAGAAGGCCUAGAAAAAUUGGCAUCCAUAAUGGAGCAAGAUACAAUAUACUUGCUUCACAAACUGAAAUUUUGGACAGAAUCAAAGAAUUGAUGGUGAGCUCACAUGGAGGCAUGACAUGAGCUCUACGUAGGUGGAGAGUGAUGAUUUGGUUAUAUGAAGGGCCAUGCAAAAUUGCAACUCAUUUGGAUAUGCCUAGCUUGUACUUCGUUCAUAACCACUUCCCUUAGACAGGAAUUUGGAAAAUCAUAAUUAAAUAAUUACUAGGCAAAUGAGGUUGCACUUUCGCAUGUGGCAAUGAUAUGGACAGGAAAAGGUGUCCAAGGAGUUUGAGGUCAAUUGGGAAAAGAUAAAUGGCACUUGCUUCACAUUCUGCCAUUUUGGGCAGAAUAGGAAAUGAAUUAUUUGAGCAUGAUGGGGAACAUGGCAAAUGAAAUAUUUUUUCCAUAUUUGAGAAAGAUGUGACCCAAACAAUUUAUGAGAAUUAUUUGGGAAUUUUAGGAGUGAUGGAAAUAAAGGUUGCUUCACAACCUAGGGCAAAUUUGGUUAUUCCUUUAAUAGAAAAGGAAUAUUCCCAAUAAAAAAGAAUAUUGGGAUUUGGGCUAGGAUGAAAAUGACAGGGUCUAGGGAAGGAUUUGGGAAUGACACGCCACUUCGGAAGCAAAGAAGAGGGCAUCUUCUUCAGUUUCCAGACCACAAAGCCACGGAAAAAGAAAACUCGAGCAAAAACCUCAGAGAAACAAAAGAAAAAGAAAGGGCCAAAAAUCAGGCUGUCACAAACCUUACCCCCUUAAAGAAAUCUCGUCCUCGAGAUUUGGUUGCUCAGGGAACAAGUAUGAAGAUACUGACUUAAGGAAACCGUUUCCAACAAGGGUAUCUUUUUUCUUAUUUUUGUUCCCACUAAAUUUUUAUCUGACUGGCCCGGGGGUGUUUUGCUUUAAUAUAUCCAUAUUCUGACACAUAUUACCUUGCUUGUUCAUGCUUAUCCAGGCUCCAAUUUCUUUUUAGAUCUGCUGACUUAGCUGACUGUGAUUGAUCCUCACGACUGAAAUAUAUGUCGGUCUCACAAAUCCAAGAGUGAUUUCCGCUGGGUGUGUCAUCCGGCUCUGACAAUCUUUCAUGAAGUGGUGAUCAGAUUUUUCUAGUGGACACCCAAGCUCUAACUCCUUGCAUUGGGUUUCUCCACUAAAUGCAGGUCCUUCGGGUUCAAAAUAGUGAAUUGGGUCAUAACCGCUUUCCUGACAGAUUCUGGCUUACCGCGGAAGUUUCGGAAUCAUCUUAACUGGUUCCACUGUCUUGAGUAUCGGAUCCAUACCAAAUAUUUAAUUGUUGCCUGCAUCACUGGUCUUGUUCCUUCAUUAUUGUUCUCUUGGUCUGGAUCCUUGGCUGAAAGAGCUAGGUCAUAUUGCUUCUUUGUAUUACCAUAGGUAUGGUCGGUACAAUUUUUCAGCAAUCGUAGCCUAUACUUAUUUUUCUGACAAGGUACCCCAUUAAAUGGCAGGUUCAACACUCCUCAAGUUCUGACUGAUUCUUGCUUCUGACCAAAAUGUUGCGGAUCUGAUUGUUGGGGUUUACUGCCAUAUGUUGUCAAUUCACAACGUACUACCUUGUACCAAUGACUUACUGAGGAAGAUUGGCUGGCUUGUGCUUGAAACUUUCAUCGGACAGCUUGCUGAAGAAGACUGGGUAUCGUGCUUCAGAAGCUUACCCCCUUAAAGACUUUGCUGGGGAAAGACUCAGUACCUUAUGCCGGAAGCUUUUCUGGUUGCCUACUAAAGAAGACAGAGUACCUUGUGCGGGAAAUCAUCCAUGUAUCGUACUGAGGAAGAUAGAUGAAUCUUGCCUUGGAAGCUUCUCGGGUAUCUUGCGAGGGAAAAUUGGGUUGCUUACACCAGAAGCUUCUUACUGUGAUAUGCGGACCAAUUUCCACAUAUAUAACCAUCUUACAAUUUUUGUUAUUGAUUUCUUGUAUGAAACGGGGUUUUGCAGGACUUCCUCCUUUCUGAGUACCUGUCAUAUUUUUGCUUGCUUCCAGGUACAUCGGGUUCCAAAAUCAUCCUCAACGAAAAAAUAAACUUGUUUCUGAGCCAUACCUUUGAUAAUAUUCUGUCAACCUUGCACACAAUUUAUCUUCUUGCUGAUUUGAUCAUUUCUGCUAUGAGAAGUGCAUGCUGAGAGAGACUUGACACUCAAUAACAUGAUCAGAUAUUCCCCAAUCUGAAUGCAGUCGGCUGAGAAUUCCAUAUUGUGGUGAGGAGUGCACGUUAAUGCAAACUUUAUACUGACAUUCCUUCCAGGAUUUCUUUUGUAUUCAGACGAGCUAUUUCCAAUUUCACUGCAGUCUGCUGACAAUUCCAUUCUGUUUAGCUGAGUUUCAGAAUAUACGCAUUUCUUGCUGACUCUUCGGGUCCGGUGUCGGCUGACGAGCAACUUUAAUAGGGGAAAUAUUUGUAACACCGAAGGCCCAAAGAAAGAAACAAAAGAAACAACUAAAACAAAAGCACAUAGGCAUACUACUAAUAUAAUUAAUCAAACAAUCAUCACAUAUUACUGCUACUCACACCAAAAUAUGCAUGAAAACCUAAGCACACAAAUCGCGCAGAAACUCUGGUAUUACAGUCUAAUAUGCUGGGGCGAUGUGCAUGAAAAUUAUAUCCAUGUGCCAAGCACUGGCUGAACAGUGGCCGGAUCAGGAUGGAUACACAUGUGAGAACGGACUUGACGAUCAAGUAGCGAGACACAAAAGUCAUGGCCACCUCUUCAUCAAGUGUACGAAGGGAAUCGUACCCGUCCAAAGAGUGAAAUGACAUGGCAAGAUAACGAUGGAAGACUGGGUUUAUUGGUAUUGCCCUUUUUUUGAUAACCAAGAUCAGUAAGGGUUGCCAAGGGAACGAGAUGGAGGGCAAUGGAUGAUGAUGUGGUCGCAUCACACCAAGGAGAAGGCAUGCUAAGAAAGAUGGUGCAGGCGGUGGACCGAAAAUGAUGCCACCUACACUCACAAGAUUAACCGUUAGCGACAAAAUAACAAUCUACAUGCAUGCUAUGCGUCAAACAAAUGCAACAAUCAAGUGCAACAAACCAACUGGGGUCUAUAGUACCGCUUUCUAACGUUUGCAUGGGCUAGGGCAUCCUACAGCCAGACCUGCUCUGAUACCAAGCCUGUGGCACCCCGGCUCAGAGAAAACCGGAACGCCCCGUAUUCCAGCCCAGAGAUCGAGGAGAAGUCUUCUGGAAUACGACACUGCUUAGCAUAGAACAAACCAGCUUUCUAUUAUUACACGAAUAUGAUUACAAGCUCUCCGAUAUUACAAUGAAUAACAUCGGCACGGCAACAUUACGCCAUCCUCAGUUGCUCUAUGCAAGCAGCAAAACAACUUGAAGCAGUGAAAUAACUCUAGCAGCAGAAAAACUAUUGGUAGCAGAACAACGACGAUGGUGGUAAACUCCACUCCGCAGGGACUCUGGCUGGAACGCUUAUCCUAACUCGCGAACACAGGAACAACACCAAACAAGUAAGCAAUCCUGGCACGACCUACAAGCUGGCAUGACACGCCAGGUCAGUACAUUGAAUGUACUUGCAAGCUCACAAUUAACCAGAAGCAUUCAAGACAAACAACAGCAUGGCAAUUACAGGUUAAGCAGGAAUUAACAUGAGAUCAUCAGGAUACCAUGGCAUGAACAACAUGACAUCGAAAGUAAUACUCCCAAAAUAAUACCAGCUACCAUCAUGAAAAUAAUCAUAAUAGCCACUAAGAAUCCAAAGGCAACACGAGCAUGAUACCGAUAAAACAAUAUGAGCAUAGCAUGAACAUAGGAAUCUGCCGAUACUAACAUGAAACAUGAUAACACUACAUGCACCAAUUAUUCUGCUCUGGUUAUCUCGCAACCAUCACAUGCAGCACUUACCAACCUCGUACAUCACAUGAUCAUCUCAGGAUCAAAUCAAGCUUGGUGUAAACAAUACCAUAGUAAUCAUUAAAAGACCACAAGGAGCUUGAUCUUUACCCAUGAUUCUCGCACAACAUCACGAAUAUCCAACAACUCGGUAUCCUCGAUACCACGGCGAUCAUUCCGUCGAUCACAACCAUGACCAACAAUUGGUCUUAAACAGUGAUCAUUCCGGCGAUCACAACCAUGACAACACUUGGUCUCAAACGGUGAUCAUUUCGGCGAUCACAACCAACUUAUCUCCUCAUCGAACCGGGGUUGUCAUUAAUCAAGUUAUUAUUAAUAUUGUUGACUCAUGGUGGGACCGACAUGAACUGCGCCCUUAUCCGCGGGCACGGCUAUCGAUAGAUUUAAUAUAUACUCUGCAGAGGUAGCACACUGUACCCACACCGAGGAACACAUGGCCUCGCACUCCCAUUCGGGUGGAGCAACGGCGUUCUGACAAAACCGAUCUACUGCCGUGACACUCUCCAGGCCACUCCGACCCACUCCCAACUGGGCUAGUCCUGGGUGGCCCCGUGUCUAUCAAAGACACCACGACCACUGUCGUGCUCAAACGUCCCUCACUAGGACUGGAUCCAUAAAAAUAAAAACAACGGGCACACAAGGUUAUGUCCACCUACCUGAUCAGGGUAAGCACGCCCAUAACCUUCCCUCGUGGGAGGCACUGGCGAGACGCACAACAAUAGACCCAGUUAGGACCUUACCCAUACGGUAAGCGUGGUUGCACUGGUCAGUUUCGAUCUGGCGGCACCAUGACUCAGCCAACAGUUGUUUAAGUUCAGUUAAAUCCGGUUAAACUUGAAUGCAAAAUGCCGAGCCAUGAUAAAAUAACAUGAUGCAAUUAUAGUGCAUGAGCAUACUAUCAACAUAAGCACGGGAUGCAACAUAACUGUCCAUCAUAUCAACUAUGAAAUAAUCUCUAACUGAACAUGGCAUAAUGACGAGCAUAAAUAUUACAAGUGCUACACUACUCAUAGUAUAACAUAACAUGACCACUAGCAUCAACCAUAAAUACCAUGCAAGAACUUAUCAAUAACAUCACCGAGUAACACUUAACCAACUAACAGCAAAGGAACAACGCAUAUUAACAGUACUCAAUAACCGACGUUAAUCAUGCACCGAAGAGUAUGACCAACCCAACAUGUACUACUAUCAAGCAUGGCAAUAUGAAAGUAAUACUAGCAACUAGCAGGGCAUGAUAACCAGGUGCAUAACAACAUAGCAAACAAGUAAGCACAAUCCCAGAAGCAUUUCCGAAACAACGAUAACCUUAUUUUAAAUAAGUAAUCAUUUAAUAAAUAUUCAAGUUGAAAACCAUGGCUACUGCAUGACUAUCAUGCAAGUGGGAUUGUGGCUUGCCUGGGGGUGAAGAAGGCACCGGGGAGAAGUGCGGUGAAGCCGUGGAAAGAUUUGCCAGAAAUAGUUCUCUCUCGGAGGGGCUGUUUACGUGCAAGGAAAAAAAUGUCAUUUUCAUAGUGUCAAAACAUAGUGAAAAUGAAACCAACAAAACGGGCUCGACGAGACGAAGAAGUGGGCUUUGGAUUCACCUCAUUUGGAGUUACGGUUGAAAAGUUAUGAGGAG
RNAcentral lists this long non-coding RNA (10086 nucleotides) under Triticum aestivum (bread wheat). RNAcentral describes it as "long non-coding RNA (TAES_LNC005128)". The record is from RNAcentral. Lineage: Eukaryota; Viridiplantae; Streptophyta; Magnoliopsida; Poales; Poaceae.